This 492-nucleotide ribosomal RNA is filed under the name uncultured bacterium. Its description in RNAcentral is "partial 16S ribosomal RNA". It matches the Rfam family "Bacterial small subunit ribosomal RNA", at positions 29 to 507 of the family's 1533-position model. The record is from RNAcentral.
AGUGAACGCUGGCGGUAGGCCUAACACAUGCGAGUCGAACGGCAGCACAGUAAGAGCUUGCUCUUACGGGUGGCGAGUGGCGGACGGGUGAGGAAUACAUCGGAAUCUACUUUUUCGUGGGGGAUAACGUAGGGAAACUUACGCUGAUACCGCAUACGACCUACGGGUGAAAGCAGGGGAUCUUCGGACCUUGCGCGAUUGAAUGAGCCGAUGUCGGAUUAGCUAGUUGGCGGGGUAAAGGCCCACCAAGGCGACGAUCCGUAGCUGGUCUGAGAGGAUGAUCAGCCACACUGGAACUGAGACACGGUCCAGACUCCUACGGGAGGCAGCAGUGGGGAAUAUUGGACAAUGGGCGCAAGCCUGAUCCAGCCAUACCGCGUGGGUGAAGAAGGCCUUCGGGUUGUAAAGCCCUUUUGUUGGGAAAGAAAAGCAGCAGGUUAAUACCCCGCUGUUCUGACGGUACCCAAAGAAUAAGCACCGGCUAACUUCGUG